CAUCUUUUAAAAUGAAUGGGCUACCUGACACAUACAGGCCUCUACUAUAGAGACAAUGGCCAGUCCUAGUGUCUAAAUGAUA
Non-coding RNA from Otolemur garnettii (small-eared galago), 82 nucleotides. The record is from Rfam. Lineage: Eukaryota; Metazoa; Chordata; Mammalia; Primates; Galagidae.